GUAGGUGACGACCAAUAUUUUUUUUUACUUUGACUUGAUGUCUAUUGAAAAAAUCUAGCAUCUGAGG
Macaca mulatta (Rhesus monkey) is the source of this 67-nucleotide small nucleolar RNA. NCBI's taxonomy places the organism in Eukaryota, Metazoa, Chordata, Mammalia, Primates, Cercopithecidae. The record is from Ensembl.